UAUUGGACAAUGGGCGAAAGCCUGAUCCAGCCAUGCCGCGUGAGUGAUGAAGGCCUUAGGGUUGUAAAGCUCUUUUGUCAGGGAAGAUAAUGACGGUACCUGAAGAAUAAGCACCGGCUAACUUCGUGCCAGCAGCCGCGGUAAUACGAAGGGUGCUAGCGUUGUUCGGAAUUACUGGGCGUAAAGCGCGCGUAGGCGGCUCCGCAAGUCAGAGGUGAAAUCCCUGGGCUCAACCCAGGAAUUGCCUUUGAAACUGCAGAGCUAGAGUGUCGGAGGGGAUAGCGGAAUUCCUAAUGUAGAGGUGUAAUUCGUAGAUAUUAGGAGGAACACCGGUGGCGAAGGCGGCUAUCUGGACGACAACUGACGCUGAGCGCGAA
RNAcentral lists this ribosomal RNA (377 nucleotides) under uncultured bacterium. RNAcentral describes it as "bacterial SSU rRNA". It matches the Rfam family "Bacterial small subunit ribosomal RNA", at positions 362 to 757 of the family's 1533-position model. The record is from RNAcentral.